RNAcentral lists this ribosomal RNA (228 nucleotides) under uncultured bacterium. Its description in RNAcentral is "partial 16S ribosomal RNA". It matches the Rfam family "Bacterial small subunit ribosomal RNA", at positions 524 to 751 of the family's 1533-position model. The record is from RNAcentral.
UACGUAGGGUGCAAGCGUUAAUCGGAAUUACUGGGCGUAAAGCGCGCGCAGGCGGUUAUGUAAGACAGUUGUGAAAUCCCCGGGCUCAACCUGGGAACUGCAUCUGUGACUGCAUAGCUAGAGUACGGUAGAGGGGGAUGGAAUUCCGCGUGUAGCAGUGAAAUGCGUAGAUAUGCGGAGGAACACCGAUGGCGAAGGCAAUCCCCUGGACCUGUACUGACGCUCAUG